This 253-nucleotide ribosomal RNA is filed under the name uncultured bacterium. RNAcentral's name for it is "partial 16S ribosomal RNA". It matches the Rfam family "Bacterial small subunit ribosomal RNA", at positions 524 to 776 of the family's 1533-position model. The record is from RNAcentral.
UACGUAGGGUGCGAGCGUUGUCCGGAAUUAUUGGGCGUAAAGAGCUCGUAGGCGGUUCGUCGCGUCGAAUGUGAAAACCCGGGGCUCAACUCCGGGCCUGCAUUCGAUACGGGCGGACUAGAGUUCGGUAGGGGAGACUGGAAUUCCUGGUGUAGCGGUGAAAUGCGCAGAUAUCAGGAGGAACACCGGUGGCGAAGGCGGGUCUCUGGGCCGACACUGACACUGAGAGACGAAAGCUAGGGGAGCGAAUGGG